UAUUGCACAAUGGGGGAAACCCUGAUGCAGCGACGCCGCGUGAGUGAAGAAGUAUUUCGGUAUGUAAAGCUCUAUCAGCAGGGAAGAAAGAAAUGACGGUACCUGACUAAGAAGCCCAGGCUAACUACGCGCCAGCCGCCGCGGUAAUACGUAGGGGGCAAGCGUUAUCCGGAUUUACUGGGUGUAAAGGGAGCGUAGACGGCAGCGCAAGUCUGGAGUGAAAUGCCGGGGCCCAACCCCGGAACUGCUUUGGAAACUGUGCAGCUCGAGUGCAGGAGAGGUAAGCGGAAUUCCUAGUGUAGCGGUGAAAUGCGUAGAUAUUAGGAGGAACACCAGUGGCGAAGGCGGUUUACUGGACUGUAACUGACGUUGAGGUUCGAAAGCGUGGGGAGCAAAC
This 397-nucleotide ribosomal RNA is filed under the name uncultured bacterium. RNAcentral's name for it is "bacterial SSU rRNA". It matches the Rfam family "Bacterial small subunit ribosomal RNA", at positions 362 to 773 of the family's 1533-position model. The record is from RNAcentral.